Long non-coding RNA from Sinocyclocheilus anshuiensis, 193 nucleotides. RefSeq lists it as uncharacterized. Lineage: Eukaryota; Metazoa; Chordata; Actinopteri; Cypriniformes; Cyprinidae. The transcript has 3 exons. The record is from RefSeq and is a predicted model, not a curated record.
UUGAACAGGAUCAUUUUUGUGUAUUACUAUUAUUUUCUCUUGAGGACUAUAUGGAAACGUCUUUUAUGUGGAAUAUGUUAUUCAGGUCAGUACUAAAUAAAAAAUAACAUGCAUUUUGUAUAAUCCCUCAUAUUUUAGUAAAGUAAUUGACAUUUAGCGGAUAUUGCAAAGUGUAUGUAACAUUUUGACCACA